CGACGACAAUAGUGCAGUUGUCCCACCUGAUUCCAUACCGAACUCAGAAGUGAAAAGCUGUAACGUCGAUGGUAGUGUGGGGAUGAGCAUCGUCGGGGU
RNAcentral lists this ribosomal RNA (99 nucleotides) under Glaesserella parasuis H465. The record is from RNAcentral. Lineage: Bacteria; Pseudomonadati; Pseudomonadota; Gammaproteobacteria; Pasteurellales; Pasteurellaceae.